Molecule: ribosomal RNA, 433 nt
Filed under: uncultured bacterium
Lineage: Bacteria
Description: partial 16S ribosomal RNA
Rfam family: Bacterial small subunit ribosomal RNA
Source: RNAcentral
AACGAACGCUGGCGGCAUGCCUAACACAUGCAAGUCGAACGAGACCUUCGGGUCUAGUGUCGCACGGGUGCGUAACGCGUGGGAACCUGCCCUUAGGUUCGGAAUAACUCCCCGAAAGGGGUGCUAAUACCGGAUAAUGUCUUCGGACCAAAGAUUUAUCGCCUUUGGAUGGGCCCGCGUUGGCUUAGCUAGUUGGUAGGGUAAAAGCCUACCAAGGCGACGAUCCAUAGCUGGUCUGAGAGGAUGAUCAGCCACACUGGGACUGAGACACGGCCCAGACUCCUACGGGAGGCAGCAAUGGGGGAUAUAGGAAAAGGGGCGAAAGCCUGAUCCAGCAAUGCCGCGAGAGUGAUGAAGGCCGUAGGGUUGUAAAGCUCUUUUACCCGGGAUGAUAAUGACAGUACCGGGAGAAUAAGCACCGGCUAACUCCGUG